RNAcentral lists this ribosomal RNA (245 nucleotides) under uncultured Limnobacter sp. Its description in RNAcentral is "partial 16S ribosomal RNA". It matches the Rfam family "Bacterial small subunit ribosomal RNA", at positions 524 to 768 of the family's 1533-position model. The record is from RNAcentral. Lineage: Bacteria; Pseudomonadati; Pseudomonadota; Betaproteobacteria; Burkholderiales; Burkholderiaceae.
UACGUAGGGUGCGAGCGUUAAUCGGAAUUACUGGGCGUAAAGCGUGCGCAGGCGGCGCGUUAAGACAGGUGUGAAAGCCCCGAGCUUAACUUGGGAAUUGCGCUUGUGACUGGCGUGCUGGAGUGUGGCAGAGGGAGGUGGAAUUCCACGUGUAGCAGUGAAAUGCGUAGAGAUGUGGAGGAACACCGAUGGCGAAGGCAGCCUCCUGGGCCAGCACUGACGCUCAUGCACGAAAGCGUGGGGAG